CGGACGGGUGAGUAAUGUCUGGGAAACUGCCUGAUGGAGGGGGAUAACUACUGGAAACGGUAGCUAAUACCGCAUAACGUCGCAAGACCAAAGAGGGGGACCUUCGGGGCCUCUUGCCAUCGGAUGUGCCCAGAUGGGAUUAGCUAGUAGGUGGGGUAACGGCUCACCUAGGCGACGAUCCCUAGCUGGUCUGAGAGGAUGACCAGCCACACUGGAACUGAGACACGGUCCAG
Molecule: ribosomal RNA, 233 nt
Filed under: uncultured bacterium
Lineage: Bacteria
Description: partial 16S ribosomal RNA
Rfam family: Bacterial small subunit ribosomal RNA
Source: RNAcentral